Molecule: ribosomal RNA, 500 nt
Filed under: uncultured bacterium
Lineage: Bacteria
Description: partial 16S ribosomal RNA
Rfam family: Bacterial small subunit ribosomal RNA
Source: RNAcentral
AUUGAACGCUGGCGGCAUGCCUUACACAUGCAAGUCGAACGGCAGCACGGACUUCGGUCUGGUGGCGAGUGGCGAACGGGUGAGUAAUAUAUCGGAACAUACCUUGUAGUGGGGGAUAACUAUCCGAAAGGAUAGCUAAUACCGCAUACGCUCUAAGGAGGAAAGUGGGGGAUCGCAAGACCUCAUGCUAUAAGAGUGGCCGAUAUCUGAUUAGCUAGUUGGUGAGGUAAAGGCUCAGCAAGGCGACGAUCAGUAGCUGGUCUGAGAGGACGACCAGCCACACGGGAACUGAGACACGGUCCAGACUCCUACGGGAGGCAGCAGUGGGGAAUUUUGGACAAUGGGGGCAACCCUGAUCCAGCAAUGCCGCGUGAGUGAAGAAGGCCUUCGGGUUGUAAAGCUCUUUUGUCAGGGAAGAAACGGUUGUGGCUAAUAUCCAUGGCUAAUGACGGUACCUGAAGAAUAAGCACCGGCUAACUACGUGCCAGCCGCCGCGGUAA